AUAAAAGCUGGCCACCCCAGCCAGCAGCAGCAACCCGCUCAGGGGCAGUUCCACGUUGUGGAAGCUUUGUUCUUUGGCUCUUCACAAUAAAUGUUGCUGCUGCUCAGUCUUAGGAUCCGCUGUAUCUUUAUGACUGUAACACUCACUGGGAAGGUCUGCGGCUUCACUCUGGAAGUCACCGAGACCACGAACCCACCAGAAGGAAGAAGCCACUCCGGACGCGCCACCUUUAAGAGCUGUUAACACUCACUGCGAAGGUCUGCGGUUUCCCUGCUGAAGUCAGGAUGAAGCUGUCUGUCCUCUGAAGUCUGGAUCCUCCUUAUCUGCCAAAAGUAUGGAACCACCAAAGAAGAAAACAGUUAUCUCUGGUUCCUUCCAGGAGUGGCCAUUAACUGAACUCAGGUCACAGGAAGAAAGACUGAAGUCUGUAAACACACCUGGACAGAUUUUUGUCACCAACCAUUGUCUUUCAGUCCAAUUUAGUUUUUCAGAGAGAAUCAUUUACCAGCUGUUUUCUACUCUGCAGGCCCAAAAGACUUUGUCCCGGGCCACUGUAUGUUCUCCAAGUCCAUUUAUUUCCCCAAAACAUCCCUUACUAUCCCUCAAAUUGCCACAUUUGCCCCAGCUCCUCUUUCCCUAUGAAGAAGGGUAUACCUCGUUUAUAUGUCUGCACCUCACUGGAUUACUGGGUAAUCAAUCUCAUGUGAUUCUCCUGCACCUUUGAACAUUAAAAUAAAUUUUGUAGGCCUUCUCCUA
This 756-nucleotide long non-coding RNA is filed under the name Homo sapiens (human). RNAcentral describes it as "HSALNT0372651". Lineage: Eukaryota; Metazoa; Chordata; Mammalia; Primates; Hominidae. The record is from RNAcentral.